This 397-nucleotide ribosomal RNA is filed under the name uncultured bacterium. RNAcentral describes it as "partial 16S ribosomal RNA". It matches the Rfam family "Bacterial small subunit ribosomal RNA", at positions 523 to 918 of the family's 1533-position model. The record is from RNAcentral.
AUACGUAGGGGGCGAGCGUUGUCCGGAAUGAUUGGGCGUAAAGGGCGCGCAGGCGGCCCGGUAAGUCUGGCGUGAAAGUCCUGUUUUUAAGAUGGGAAUUGCUUUGGAUACUGUCGGGCUUGGGUGCAGGAGAGGUAAGUGGAAUUCCCAGUGUAGCGGUGAAAUGCGUAGAGAGUGGGAGGAACACCAGUGGCGAAGUCGCCUUACUGGACUGUAACUGACGCUGAGGCGCGAAAGUGUGCGGAGCAAACAGGAUUAAAGUCCCGUGUUGUGCACGCGGUAAACGGUGAUUGCUAGGUGUAGGGGGUGUCUGCCGCAUCUGUGCCGCAUUCAACACAAUAAGCAGACCGCCUGGGGUGUACGGCCGCAAGGUUGAAACUCAAAGCAAUUGACGGGG